Molecule: non-coding RNA, 72 nt
Organism: Halogeometricum pallidum JCM 14848
Lineage: Archaea; Methanobacteriati; Methanobacteriota; Halobacteria; Halobacteriales; Haloferacaceae
Source: Rfam
GGGCCCGUAGCUCAGCGGCAGAGCACCUCCUUUGCAAGGAGGAAGCCCUGGGUUCAAAUCCCAGCGGGUCCA